AUAUAAUCUGCAAUGCUGCCCUGUUGCCAAUGGAACCUGAGUACCAAGAUUAGCUAAUGUCAUUAUUUGAAGCAACAUAAUGGUGAAAUCAAAGGGGGUGCAAAAGCAUCCCGUGCCGGCAGGCCAUGGAUCUGUGCAUGCAUCAUUUGUGGUUUUACAGACAGAAGUGAAGCUUGUAUGUUUGAAUCAAAAUGGAAAGCUUCGUCAAGAAAGUUCCCCGGAAAAGGCAAAAUAAGCAGAUUGAUGAUUCAUCACUUGCAUUGCUGCAGCAGAGACAGGAAGCUCUAAACAGAGUGAAAAGUUCACUUGAUUGCAAUCACUUGCAAAUCAACUGGCAUUUGAAUCCAUUGUGAUUCACCGUCCAAGAUUUUUAGUGACGUGCCUAACGAAUUAUUUAAUUGCAAUCUGUCCAAAUGCCAAGGACAAAGGACACGACUCCAAAUAUUUCAAGUGCAGUUGUACCAUAUAAAUUAAAGGGUUCUUGUAAACUAAAAAUAAAUAUCAUUUUCCCUCAUUUUUAUCUUGCUCCCA
Molecule: long non-coding RNA, 531 nt
Organism: Neltuma alba
Lineage: Eukaryota; Viridiplantae; Streptophyta; Magnoliopsida; Fabales; Fabaceae
Exons: 3
Source: RefSeq, a predicted model, not a curated record